AUAGUAUUUCAUGCAUCACUUAUCUCAAAAGUAUAUUAGUCUAUAAACUCAUCAAUUGAUUUUAUUAUCAAAAUCUACAAUUCAAAAAUUAGAAGCAUGAUGAAUUAUUCUUCUAUACCUAAAUCAAAAUGGGGUAAAGCUCUAAGGACAAUUAUGUAUAUCUUGAAUAAGAUUCCUAGUAAAUCAAUUCCAUUAACUUUAUUUAAAAU
Molecule: long non-coding RNA, 209 nt
Filed under: Musa acuminata (dwarf banana)
Lineage: Eukaryota; Viridiplantae; Streptophyta; Magnoliopsida; Zingiberales; Musaceae
Description: long non-coding RNA (MACU_LNC007093)
Source: RNAcentral